CUCCUGGACAGCUCACUAAGAAUACAGCUUCACAAUGGAUGCUGUUGCUACCCAACAGUUCGGGACAUCACUACUUGUGGGUCUAAAAUUUUGGUUCCCUUGGAACUUUUGAGGGAGGCAAUCCUGGAGGUUGUAGUUCUCUGUUUUAAUUGAGCAGCCAAUCGUGCUCCUUCUUUGUUGCCCGCAGCAAAAAAGCUGUGUUUAAACCUGCGUGUAAGGAAUGUCGUUUUGGCUAGUUCCAAAUCUCUCAGCCGUGAUUGUAAAAGCAGCAGUUUAGUAUGGGUGGAAGCCGUGAGGGAGUGUUUGUUAGUGUGGGUUAGAGAUGUUUAUUCGGAAAGUAUGGCCGUGUAUGUUUCUAGUCGCUUCUUUUUUGCGUAGCUGGCAUGCUUGAUGAAGCAACCUCGUAUGAAGCUAUUCUCGAAUAGCUGUUAUGUGCUGCUGUGUGGCAUGUAUAGUCCCUUUCUGUAGGAUGUGUGACUCGCCAUGGGUCUGCGAGAUUGUGUGAUGUUAGUUUGUUGCAGAUUUGUGUGGUUAGUUUGGACCUCCGGAGGCUGUCUAAUAAUAAAUUUGUGUCACCUCCAAUGAUUACCUCCCCCAGUGCAUGUGCAGACAUCAAUCCAAGCAGUACAUCAGCAAAGUCACAUUGGUUAGCAAUAGGCCCAUAUACAUUAAUCAAGGUAUAGACAUUGUUAUUCAGGGAGCAUUGCAAUAUAAGGUAUCUUCC
Pelobates cultripes (western spadefoot toad) is the source of this 724-nucleotide non-coding RNA. The record is from the annotation of a GenBank genome assembly. Lineage: Eukaryota; Metazoa; Chordata; Amphibia; Anura; Pelobatidae.